RRAAAAUUCCUGGUGCCUUUCAAGCCUAAGCAGUUCGGGUAAAUAACUACACAUGAUGGAGGCUCUCCACUCCCUGGAUGGCCGGAUGCAUGGAGGAUCUUUGUUCAUAUUGACAGGGAAAUUGGAGUUCUAACUAAGGCCCCUAAGAGCUCGAUAUUUAUCUAUUGAACAUAUGUGACAUGAAGGGAGCGCACGCCUCCGGCGGCUAGGGUUUGGGCGCCAUCCGAGUCGCCCUAGCAGGGAUGACGCGGGGGCUGAAGGGGAACCACCUCGACAUGCAUCGAGUAUUGAUUGAUCGUGGAUGGGGCUGAUAGAUAAAUAGAUAGAUAGAAGAUGAGCCGUCGCCGGAGCACUAGAGCGCGCUCUGCCCAUAUAUUGGACGGUCCUCAGAGUCAUCUCGGUCUGGCCCAAGCUCGACCGUUGCCGGUCUGGUUCAUGAAAACAGGACCGCGACACUGGUCGGUCUGGUCUGGACCGGACUGCCGGCGGCCGGUCCAAACGCUGGCUCGGACAGUGUCCUCCCUAAGACAUGCUCAUUAGAGACAAGCUCCGAAAAUGCAGAAUGCAGAACAAUAAAAAUCUACCAAAAAUGGUAAAUCUACUCCAGUAUUGCUCCUUGUAAAACUUAUUGGAGAUAGUGGCGACGAUUGCUAGCAAUGGCCAUUAAUUUGCUCUAAACUUCUAUGCAGUCGUUGAUUGGCCCAAGCUAUGUAUAAAUCAGGACAAUACGUGCUCAUGGGAGACAUGUUGAGGUAAAUUAUGGCCAAUACAUGCACAUGGGAGGGAGAGAGGAACUGUGGCAUGUGUAGGUCCUAGAUGGAAGGAAAUCGUGGGAGGUGAGCACAACGGUGAGCUAUCAUGUUUGAGUCUGCUGUAGAUUUCACAUUUUUUCCUGUUCUAUUGGAAGAUUGCAACUAAGCUGAAACGUCAACAAAAUCAUGGAAGAAUUCUUUUAAGGGAUGCAUAAACAUCCAUAGCAGAAAGAUCAUCCAAGAAGAUAUAUCUGGAAAGUUUGCUUGUUCGAAACUAAGUUUUUGCAGCAAAGGAUCGGACUGAAACCAUUAUAGAGAUCAUGGAGAAAGGUGCUGGUGUGUUGUGCAAUUGAAUAUAAAUCUAGGGAGGAGAGAGAUAUCCGGAGGAGAAACAUAAGGUGGUGUCAAGGGGAUUAGGAGAUUCGAGUUGAGGCAUGCCGACGUUGUAUCGAGGAGAUUGUGCACAUACAGGAACUAGCGAGGGAGAUGAUGGAGAAAGAAGGCAGGACGCUGUGCUGACCUACCGACGUUGUAUAGAGAAGACUGUGCCCAUACCGGUGCUAGCGAAGGAGAUGAUGGAGAAAGAAGGCCAGACGAUCUAUGCUGUUAGAUCAAUUUGAAUUUACCGUUGUACUAUUGUUGGAAUCCUCGUCCGAUGUUUGAAUCCCAUGGAGGAACUAGGGAAACAAAUCCAAUUAUUUUAUUUUGAUAGACAAAGUGACAAUAUCAAGGCAGAGUGUAUCAUUUCACUCAUGAAGUUAGUACACAUGAGUAUGAAUUUCUGUUAGUCAUACACUAGAGGAAGAACGACCUCCUCGCCGUUGGCACAUAUGCACCUGAGAUUCCUUUGUACCUUCAUGUGUUGAGAUGCCAACAAGUCUUUUUUGAGAAAUUUGGUCAAUAUGUUGGAUAUGGAGGCAAGCUACACUAGAUCAUAGCUUCUAGUUAUUGACUACUACCUAAUCAUGAAUCUUCUCAUUGCCGCCAGCACCAUAAAUUGCCACCAGGCACUCGUCACCGUCACCACUGUCAGCGGAUCACCACUGAACCACCGCUAGACUAUGUCAUGAGCGAUGGCGGAGUUACAAACAUUGAUAAUGUCCGAAAGACGGAAUUCAUCUGUUACAACAUUCUACCAUGUAACACGUCGUCGUCCCAUUGCAACGGCAGCCCACCGGCGUCAUCUUUGUCUCCUGUAGACAAACGAUGUGGCAGGUGGAUGCAACAAUAAGUUACUGAACUAUCGAGCGCCCAUCCGGACAGUUCUACCCUCCGACAUUUCAUCGUAGGAAGACAACAUUUUAUACAUGAUACUUGAUGGUUUGGAACGAUAAAUGAAAACAAGGUGAAAAACAAUGGGCGAUGCAGAGGCAAGGGUUUUCACAUGAUACUUGAUGGUUUGGAAAGAUAGACGUAAACAACUUGAAAGGAAUGUGAUGCCUACAGGAUAUAUACAUGUAUAUGAGUUUAGCACUUUAGCUCAACUAUGAUUCACAUGAGGUAGGAACGAUUCUAGUUAGGCCGUGAGACAAUUGAUGUAAGAUGAACUUAGGUUCCGACAUUUCGACGAAGGUCGCAGGUACAGGUACGACAAACCAUCCAUGUUAGAAUGAACCGAGUGAUACUAUGCGAUGUUGGGAAUGGACAGGUGUGUGUAGAUGCGAUGAGAUACGACGGAUCACUAAUUUGUUUUCCAUAUCACAGGGCGGAGGCCCACAUCGGAGACACCUCACUUGGAAUAAGCUAACAAUAAGUCUCUCCCCAUCGAAGAAAAUCACAAUAAUUUUCCUUUGGUCAGGCCAGAAUAAUAAAAUUGGUUAACAAACCUCGCCUCAUAGCCAUAUAGCCGUUCCUGGUGUCUUUCAAGCCUACACAAUUCUUUUGACAGACGCUUUCCACUCUCUAGACCUAUGGAGGAUCUCUAUCCAUCAUUGCUAAAGGAAACUGGAAUUCGAACUCAGAAGUUGGGGAGAGACUGAUACGUAUGUAUCGACUGUGUAUAGUGACAUGACGGUGCCUCCUUGGCCCACAACAUUAUUUUAGCACAUCUCUCACGAGUUUAAUUUGAUAUCUUUUAAACCUACACAACGGUGCCUCCUUUCAGCCUACACAAUUCCUCUGAAAAAUAGUUUUCCACUCUCUCAAGAUAUAUAGGGAGAUCUCUAUCUAUAAUUGCUAGAGGAAAUUGGAAUUUGAACUGAGAAGUUGGGGAGACACCGAGUAUUUAUCGAUUGGGCAUAGUAACACGCCUCCUUGGCCAACCAUAUUAAUUUAACAAAUAAGGUACACUUCUGACUCCAGUUUAAUUUGUUAUCUCUGCUUUUAUGUGUUUAGGAAAGCCAUAUAUUUCCGCACCAUAUAGGACCUCAUCGGGUGCGCACUUCACAGGCUAUCUCAACCACAACCCAAUACAAUAUGGAAGUGAGACUGGACACUUAGCCAAACAGGGAAUACAAAAAGUAUCUUAACUUUGUAAAUCAUUUGUUAUGCAAUAUGGAAUAUAUUCCAAUAAGACACAACUAAAUUACCAGUCAUCAUUUUUUUAGAAAAGGAGGUUAACCUCCGGCCUGUGCAUCAAUUGAUGCAUACGACCAUUUAUUAAACCAAAACCAAAUAGUUCUGGAGUCGAAUACAAGCUCAUGCGGAGCUGAAGAUAACUCAUCAUGAAAAGAGAUAAAAGAGCAACAACCGGCAAAAAUUGGACAUGAUGACUAAACACAUAUCCUAUUAGUGGACCGCCAUCCAAACCGGCUGAAGAUAACCUGGGUUAUCAUCUCUCAUCGAGCAGACCUAGUAACCAAAGGCUCACUGGCUUCCGCAGUAGUUAGUAACGACCACAUACGGAUCCAUGUAGUGGCCCGGAAGAUAACUGCUACCUCAAAAAGAUCCCCGGCAGCGGGCCGGAAAUACUUCUGAUUGUUCUGCUGUGUAUCCCUUGCAACGGCGCCAGGAAGUAGUUGUGUCGAGGGCACCAGGAAUCCUUCAGCUACGGCUACGCCUUAAGGGACUUCCUAGGCAAGAAUGCAAAG
Molecule: long non-coding RNA, 3781 nt
Filed under: Hordeum vulgare
Lineage: Eukaryota; Viridiplantae; Streptophyta; Magnoliopsida; Poales; Poaceae
Description: long non-coding RNA (HVUL_LNC017492)
Source: RNAcentral